This 901-nucleotide long non-coding RNA is filed under the name Anser brachyrhynchus (Pink-footed goose). RNAcentral's name for it is "lncRNA (ENSABRG00000000654.1)". Lineage: Eukaryota; Metazoa; Chordata; Aves; Anseriformes; Anatidae. The record is from RNAcentral.
GCAGAUCACUGUAGUACAAUAUAAACUGCAUUUUCUUGCCAUUGCAUUUGAGAAAUCUGCCAGUUCCACAUCAUUUACACAUGUAUGAGAAAAAAUGCAAAUAUGGAUCAGCUGAAACCAAGAACAUAAUCCAAAAUUAUAUCCUGGUCUUUGUCAUUUAAACGUCGUCAGUCACACUGGCAGAUCUGGAUUGAAGAAACUGAGCAGACAACAGAAAUGUGCACCACUGAUUUGUGAUCUGCAAUGCCCAGCCUAAAGUGAUUGCUUUCUGCUGGGAUCAAGAGAGCAGAAUUGCUGGUUUCUUCUGGCUCAAAAUACUAAAAAUGUUUAAAAAGAACUGUUGCAGAAAACUCCCCAAAGCCCAAAUCCUUGCUUUCAUACCAUUUAUAUACUCAGCAGUCCACUGCUUGGUCGCUCAUGAAGUGAACAUAUCUCCAGAGAAGAGGCUGAAACACCUCUCUUGGAUGCUGCUUGCUUUGUUCCAUCAGGAUUAUUAUCACGUACAGACUUUGUAGCUUUCUGUUCCUUCAGGGGCUUGUUGUUUAGUAUCUGACUCACAGAGUGGCUGGUACUGCUGCUGCACUUAAAGUAAAACGGAAUGCUUCCUAAUUUUCAUUCUCUUUUGGUCACCAGGACUUUUACACAGUCUCUUAGCAUGUCCCCAUCAGGUGUUUUUCCCCACAAAACCUCUGUUUAUGUGGAUGUGAAAUGGUAUUAAAUAACUGUUCUUAGAUCAUACAUUUUUUCCUAUGAUACGUUGGUCAGAUUAUGUUGAAUGCACUGAUAAGAAAAAUACAUGAAAUGGUGUAUCUCUGUAGUUACACAGAAAGAAAGAGAUGCCCAUGCAUUUACUGGAGUUUGCCUAGUUAUACACCUGCAAGAACACACAGUUAAAGUUGUU